RNAcentral lists this ribosomal RNA (497 nucleotides) under uncultured bacterium. Its description in RNAcentral is "partial 16S ribosomal RNA". It matches the Rfam family "Bacterial small subunit ribosomal RNA", at positions 28 to 507 of the family's 1533-position model. The record is from RNAcentral.
GAUGAACGCUGGCGGCGUGCCUAAUACAUGCAAGUCGAGCGAUGAAGGGUGAUACUUGUUUCACUUGGAUGAGCAGCGGACGGGUGAGUAACGCGUGGGGAAUCUGCCUUUGAGCGGGGGACAACAUCUGGAAACGAAUGCUAAUACCGCAUAAAAUUUUUAACCACAUGUUUCAAGUUUGAAAGACGCUCUUGCAUCACUCAAUGAUGAUCCCGCGUUGUCUUAGCUAGUUGGUGAGGUAAAGGCUCUCCAAGGCGAAGAUACAAAGCCGACCUGAGAGGGGGGAUGGCCACAACGGGAAUGAGACACAGGCCAAACUCCCACAGGGAGGAGCAGGAGGGGAACUUCGGCAAAGGAGGAAAAUCUGGCCGGGGAACGGCGCGGGGGGGAAGGAAGGUUUCGGGCCGGAAAAAUCUGUUUGUAAGGGAAGACGAUGGGGGGAGUGAAAAGCGCAUAAAGUGACGGUAACUACCCAGAAAGGGACGGCUAACUACGUG